GCCCGGUGGUGACCGAGCCGGUCAGGUCGGCGUGGCUCGCGUCCACGCCCGAGUCCACCACCGCGACGGUCACCCCGGCGCCCCGGGUG
This 89-nucleotide transfer RNA is filed under the name Actinomadura sp. NBRC 104412. RNAcentral's name for it is "tRNA-Ala". Lineage: Bacteria; Bacillati; Actinomycetota; Actinomycetes; Streptosporangiales; Thermomonosporaceae. The record is from RNAcentral.